Long non-coding RNA from Castor canadensis (American beaver), 318 nucleotides. RefSeq lists it as uncharacterized. The record is from RefSeq and is a predicted model, not a curated record. NCBI's taxonomy places the organism in Eukaryota, Metazoa, Chordata, Mammalia, Rodentia, Castoridae.
GAGGCGCGCACUCAGGCCCGGCCGGGCAAGGCUGGGCCUGUGCGCGCGCGGCUCCGCGCGUCCCGCCGGGUGGUCUCGGUCCCUGCGCGCGCACACCUGGACCGGCCGGCUCCGUCGGCUGGCAGCCAUGUCUCGUCCAUCCUGCAGCAGAAGCCUCGGCGGCCCCAGAAUGAAGUCAGCUCACUCAGCAUCUCUAAGGAGCCGGGAAACAGAGCUCUCUUGCAACAGCGUCCGUGUAACCUUGGCGAUGCCCUUGAAACUUGCAAAGUUUCCUGGGUUCUGAGAAGGAGAGAAAUGUUUUCUGGCACAAAAAAAAAA